GACGAACGCUGGCGGCGUGCUUAACACAUGCAAGUCGAACGGUAAGGCCCUUCGGGGUACACGAGUGGCGAACGGGUGAGUAACACGUGGGUGAUCUGCCCUGCACUUCGGGAUAAGCCUGGGAAACUGGGUCUAAUACCGGAUAGGACCCUGGGAUGCAUGUCCUGGGGUGGAAAGCUUUUGCGGUGUGGGAUGGGCCCGCGGCCUAUCAGCGUGUUGGUGGGGUGAUGGCCUACCAAGGCGACGACGGGUAGCCGGCCUGAGAGGGUGACCGGCCACACUGGGACUGCGAUACGGCCGAGACUCCGACGGGAGGCAGCAGUGGGGUAGAUUGCACAGUGGGCGCAAGCCUGAUGCAGCGACGCCGCGUGGGGGAUGACGGCCUUCGGGUUGUACACCUCUUUCAGUAGGGACGAAGCGCAAGUGACGGUACCCACAGAAGAAGGACCGGCUAACUACGUGCCAGCCGCCGCCGUAA
Molecule: ribosomal RNA, 478 nt
Filed under: uncultured bacterium
Lineage: Bacteria
Description: partial 16S ribosomal RNA
Rfam family: Bacterial small subunit ribosomal RNA
Source: RNAcentral